RNAcentral lists this ribosomal RNA (227 nucleotides) under uncultured Lactobacillus sp. Its description in RNAcentral is "partial 16S ribosomal RNA". It matches the Rfam family "Bacterial small subunit ribosomal RNA", at positions 134 to 355 of the family's 1533-position model. The record is from RNAcentral. Lineage: Bacteria; Bacillati; Bacillota; Bacilli; Lactobacillales; Lactobacillaceae.
GAGAUCGGAUAACACCUGGAAACAGAUGCUAAUACCGGAUAACAACAGAUGAUGCCUAUCAACUGUUUAAAAGAUGGUUCUGCUAUCACUCUUGGAUGGACCUGCGGUGCAUUAGCUAGUUGGUAGGGUAACGGCCUACCAAGGCGAUGAUGCAUAGCCGAGUUGAGAGACUGAUCGGCCACAUUGGGACUGAGACACGGCCCAAACUCCUACGGGAGGCAGCAGUC